Long non-coding RNA from Mercurialis annua (annual mercury), 2262 nucleotides. RefSeq lists it as uncharacterized. The record is from RefSeq and is a predicted model, not a curated record. Lineage: Eukaryota; Viridiplantae; Streptophyta; Magnoliopsida; Malpighiales; Euphorbiaceae. The transcript is spliced from 2 exons.
UUAUAAGGGGGGAAGAAUGUAAUAACCCGUACGUUUGACGUUGCCGAAGUGAGCAAUGCAAUUUAAAUUAAUAGUCAGAGCGACUAGAAAAAGGAGUUAGCGAAGGAAUUAAGUAAUUAAGAACGAGGAUAGGUCGAUAUUGAAAUUUAAAGAAGGAAUUUCAAUAUUUGUAAUGCCUAAAUUAAUUAAACGGGACGAAGGAAAAGUUGGAGUUAAAAGUAAGAUUAAGUCCCCGAAAAAUUAGAAAAUGGAAUUUUAUUGUCCGAAAAAUAUUAAAUAAAUAAAUUAUUGACGGGAAUCAGUAAUUAAGAAAGUAAUAUUGAUAAUUUGGAUGUCAAUAUUCAUAAAAGAAAAAUAUAAGGAUGAAAAAGUGACGGAAAUCGUCGUUUUCGCUCAAAUUGGAAAAUUGAGCAUUUUAGCCAAAAUUUGGCAAAAUCGAUUAGCGGAGUCUAAAUAGUGAGUUGGCGGAAGAGUAUUAUUUAUUUAGACAUAAAUAAUACGAAAUUUAUCGAGAUUUAACGAUUGAGUGAUUUUUGGACUAAAUUGAGCAAAAGAAAAGUUUGGGACUAAAUGUUGAGGAGGUGGCUUCAUUAAGGGUUGAAGUGAAUUUUUACCAUAAAUAUAUAUAUAGUCAAUUACAUGAUUAAGAUCAGAAUACACACCCCAAUUCUCAGCUCAAACCCUCACCAUCUUCAUCAUCUCAAUUCCAUAUGGGAACCAAACUUUAAUUCACCAUAACUUAUUCGUUUUAGCUCGGUUUUGGUCGAUUCUUGUGGCAACGGAAAGAGGAGAACCAUACCUACUGAUUGAGCCCAAUAAAUUAAGGUAUAAAUCUCAUCUUAAGGUUAGGGUUGCUGCUGUAAUUUUCUGUUUUGGUGAUAAUGGUUGAAAAUGAUGUUUAUAAGCUUAUAAUUAAUAGUUUUGGCAUGAUUUUGGUUAAGUUUAAACUAAAAUUAAGGGUGGUUGAGUGAGGUUGUGAGAUUUGUGUUUGGGUUGAUGAUUUGGUGAGAUUAAAGGGUGUUUGGUGGCUGUUUUCCAGCCAUGGUGGCCGGAUUUCUCACCGUGCCGAAGCACGGUGAGUUGCUGCCGUGAGCAGCAGCCCUGGUGCGACGCACCAGGGCAUUGGCCGGCCCCUCCCCUGUCAAAACAGGGGAGGGCUGAGUUGAGCGGGAGGGGGCUGAUGCCACCCUCCACUUGUGUUCGAAUUUUAAUGAUUUUGAUAGUUGACGGAGUUACGAAACUAGGAAUCAAACUUGAUGUAAAAGCGGUUUUUAGGAUAAAAUGUUAAUGAUUUGAAAUUGGUAUCGGUUGGACAUUAUGGUAUGAUUAGGAAUGAAUAUGUAGGUUAUAAUAUUGUAUUUUAGGCUGUUUUAGAUCGACUAAAACGAUUAAAAGGCUAAUGGUAUUAAUAGACGUUUAAACUAAGAACAUAAAUGACGUAAGUAACGUUAAAAAUGAAAUGUUGAAUUUAAUAAAUAAAAUGGUUAUAGGAAAUUUAUUAGGGCUGUCCUAAAUGUAUUAUAAGGUUAAUAAAAUAGUCAUUUUAAACAAAUUGUAAAAUGUUGUUUUUGUAACAUGUCCGAAUCGAAUAUGAAUCGAUAGGCGACGCUUGGUGAAUUAAGACACGUUUCGAUUAAGAUUAAGGUUGAACCUAAAGUAAGGAUACUAAGGGUUAUAUAUGCUAUUUUAAACUCAAAUUUGCUAAGGGAAAAGAUAUUAAGGUGAAGCAUUUUGAGGUUUAAACACGAAAAGACGAAAUUGACGUAACAACGCAACGAAGCGAAUGUAGACAUUUGAGCGAGUUUUAUAGGAUUGAUUGGGCAUUAUAGAUGGGUUUAAGUUAAGAAGACUUAACUUAAUAUAGUAAUUAAUAGUUUUGAUUUUAUAAUGCCAAUGAGAUAUAAAUGUAUUUUGAACCUCGUUUGUAACAGACAAACCGGGAGGCGAAGGGAUCGACGGUUUUGGCCUAGGAGUAUUCGGCCAAGACUAAUGCGUAUAAACAAUUUGGAUUGAAAAGCAAGGAGUACGUAGACUUGGAGUGACUAAAAGUCCAUCAAUUUGCCGGAAGUUUGUUUAGCUAUGUACAGUCCGACUUCCGCGACCGCUGCAGUAGUACAUUGUGUGACCAGUCAUGACCUAGGAUAAUGUUAUAGUGUUGGAAAAUGUUUAUAAUUGCUGUUGUGUAUAAAAUGAAUAUUAUAACAAUGUUAGAUAUACAUAGUCAGUGUUUAUAAAAUGGCUAGUAAUGUUUUCAUAAUUAAA